This 118-nucleotide ribosomal RNA is filed under the name Orussus abietinus. The record is from RNAcentral. Lineage: Eukaryota; Metazoa; Arthropoda; Insecta; Hymenoptera; Orussidae.
ACUAACGCUCAUACCACGUCUUUCCACCGGUUCUCGUCCGAUCACCGAAGUUAAGCGACGUUGGGCGCGGUCAGUACUUGGAUGGGUGACCGCUUGGGAACACCGCGUAGCGUCGGUC